AUUGAACGCUGGCGGCAGGCCUAACACAUGCAAGUCGAACGGAAGAACUUUACUAGCUCCUGGUUUCAGCGGCCGACGGGGGGGUGAUGCGUGGAAAGCUGCGUGACACGUGGGGAUAACGCCCAAAAGAGGGGGCUAAUACCUCAUAACUCCUGCGGAAACAAGAGAGGCAUCUUCGGACCUUAGUCACUCAGAUGAACGUAGGUCGGAUUAGCUAGUUGGUUGGGUAAAGGCCUACCAAGGCGACGAUCCGUAUCUGGUCUGAGAGGAUGAUCAGUCACACUGGAACUGAGACACGGUCCAGACUCCUACGGGAGGCAGCAGUGGGGAAUAUUGGACAAUGGGCGAAAGCCUGAUCCAGCCAUGCCGCGUGUGUGAAGAAGGUCUUCGGAUUGUAAAGCACUUUUGGUUGGGAGGAAGGGCAGUAAGUUAAUACCUUGCUGUUUUGACGGUACCAAAAGAAUAAGCACCGGCUAACUUCGUG
This 484-nucleotide ribosomal RNA is filed under the name uncultured bacterium. Its description in RNAcentral is "partial 16S ribosomal RNA". It matches the Rfam family "Bacterial small subunit ribosomal RNA", at positions 30 to 507 of the family's 1533-position model. The record is from RNAcentral.